GACAUACGGUAGCAAGCCGAAUGUCGUUCAGUCGGCCGUAGGUCGGUCGGCAAGUCGUGGAUGCGACUAAGGUCGCAUUGUGCGAUAGACGGUGGCUAGCCGAAUAUCCCUCGACCGGCCGUAGCCUGGUCGGAAGUCGCGACGCAAGUCGCGCAGGCUUUUCGCCUAUCUUUGGUCGGGGCCCGAUCAGCAUGUUAGCCGAUGGUCUGGCCCGAGAGUUCGACCGUAGAAGGAGCGCCAGCUCCCGUCAUUGUAGAUGCAUCGGUCCUAGUAAGGGUCCGAUGUCUCGUCGAAAGUCGAAGGAGCACUACUCCCGUUGAUAUGAAUACAUCGGUCCUGGUAAGGGUCCGAUUCAUCAUUGAUUGUCGAAGGAGUGUCAACUCCCGUUCUUGUAGAUGCGUCGGUUUUAGGUGGAUGCUAGGUCCUCGUCAAUACGUUGGGGCUUUGGCGAGCGCCGAUCGUUAGUCGAAGAGUUGAGACUCCGAGAUUUCAAACCGACUUUGUAUUCCGACUACUGAAUUACAAAAUUCACUGGCAAUACAGCUUCAGGUUGUCGGCGUUCCAAGUCUGGGGAACGGGCUUCCCCUCAAGGGUCUCCAGCCGAUAGGCUCUCGGCCCGUAGGUGUCUACAACCUUGUAGGGCCCUUCCCAGUUUGGAGCCAACUUCCCCUGAUCCAAGGGCUUCGAGACCUCCGCCUUCCUCAAGACCAAGUCACC
Molecule: long non-coding RNA, 717 nt
Filed under: Elaeis guineensis (African oil palm)
Lineage: Eukaryota; Viridiplantae; Streptophyta; Magnoliopsida; Arecales; Arecaceae
Description: long non-coding RNA (EGUI_LNC076997)
Source: RNAcentral